GACGAACGCUGGCGGCGUGCUUAACACAUGCAAGUCGAACGAUGACGACCGAGCUUGCUCGGUCUGAUUAGUGGCGAACGGGUGAGUAACACGUGAGCAACCUGCCCUUCACUCUGGGAUAACCCCGGGAAAUCGGGGCUAAUACCGGAUAUGAGCUCCUGUCGCAUGGCGGGUGUUGGAAAGUUUUUCGGUGAAGGAUGGGCUCGCGGCCUAUCAGUUUGUUGGUGAGGUAGUGGCUCACCAAGGCGAUGACGGGUAGCCGGCCUGAGAGGGCGACCGGCCACACUGGGACUGAGACAGGGCCCAGACUCCUACGUGAGGCAGCAGUGGGGAAUAUUGCACAAUGGGCGAAAGCCUGAUGCAGCGGCGCCGCGUGAGGGAUGACGGCCUUCGGGUUGUAAACCUCUUUCAGCAGGGAAGAAGCGAAAGUGACGGUACCUGCAGAAGAAGCGCCGGCUAACUACGUG
This 467-nucleotide ribosomal RNA is filed under the name uncultured bacterium. RNAcentral describes it as "partial 16S ribosomal RNA". It matches the Rfam family "Bacterial small subunit ribosomal RNA", at positions 28 to 507 of the family's 1533-position model. The record is from RNAcentral.